ACCAGACUCCUACGGGAGGCAGCAGUGGGGAAUAUUGGGCAAUGGGCGAAAGCCUGACCCAGCAACGCCGCGUGAAGGAAGAAGGCUUUCGGGUUGUAAACUUCUUUUGACAGGGAAGAGCAGAAGACGGUACCUGUCGAAUAAGCCACGGCUAACUACGUGCCAGCAGCCGCGGUAAUACGUAGGGGGCAAGCGUUAUCCGGAUUUAUUGGGUUUAAAGGGUGCGUAGGCGGAAUGCCAAGUCAGCGGUAAAAUCGGGGGCCUCAACCUCGCUCCGCCGUUGAAACUGGCGUUCUUGAGUGGGCGAGAAGUAUGCGGAAUGCGUGGUGUAGCGGUGAAAUGCAUAGAUAUCACGCAGAACUCCGAUUGCGAAGGCAGCAUACCGGCGCCCAACUGACGCUGAAGCACGAAAGCGUGGGUAUCGAACAGGAUUAGAUACCCGGGUA
Molecule: ribosomal RNA, 446 nt
Filed under: uncultured bacterium
Lineage: Bacteria
Description: partial 16S ribosomal RNA
Rfam family: Bacterial small subunit ribosomal RNA
Source: RNAcentral